This 580-nucleotide ribosomal RNA is filed under the name Kocuria sp. I14A-01102. RNAcentral describes it as "bacterial SSU rRNA". It matches the Rfam family "Bacterial small subunit ribosomal RNA", at positions 95 to 687 of the family's 1533-position model. The record is from RNAcentral. Lineage: Bacteria; Bacillati; Actinomycetota; Actinomycetes; Micrococcales; Micrococcaceae.
GUGGCGAACGGGUGAGUAAUACGUGAGUAACCUGCCCUUGACUCUGGGAUAAGCCUGGGAAACUGGGUCUAAUACUGGAUACUACCUCUUACCGCAUGGUGGGUGGUGGAAAGGGUUUUACUGGUUUUGGAUGGGCUCACGGCCUAUCAGCUUGUUGGUGGGGUAAUGGCUCACCAAGGCGACGACGGGUAGCCGGCCUGAGAGGGUGACCGGCCACACUGGGACUGAGACACGGCCCAGACUCCUACGGGAGGCAGCAGUGGGGAAUAUUGCACAAUGGGCGGAAGCCUGAUGCAGCGACGCCGCGUGAGGGAUGACGGCCUUCGGGUUGUAAACCUCUUUCAGUAGGGAAGAAGCGAGAGUGACGGUACCUGCAGAAGAAGCGCCGGCUAACUACGUGCCAGCAGCCGCGGUAAUACGUAGGGCGCAAGCGUUGUCCGGAAUUAUUGGGCGUAAAGAGCUCGUAGGCGGUUUGUCGCGUCUGCUGUGAAAGCCCGGGGCUCAACCCCGGGUCUGCAGUGGGUACGGGCAGACUAGAGUGCAGUAGGGGAGACUGGAAUUCCUGGUGUAGCGGUGAAAU